RNAcentral lists this long non-coding RNA (523 nucleotides) under Gossypium barbadense (sea-island cotton). RNAcentral's name for it is "long non-coding RNA (GBAR_LNC000035)". Lineage: Eukaryota; Viridiplantae; Streptophyta; Magnoliopsida; Malvales; Malvaceae. The record is from RNAcentral.
UCCGGUAUGUAGCAGACAAAUCCAGCACAAGACAGUUUCAUGGGGGCCAUUAAGCAUUUCCGUGCCCCUGGAUUAAAUGGUUCCUAGGUAACUCAUGCCAGAGGGAUAAACUGGAGAUAUGCAGGUAAUCCAACAAAAGAGACUUGUUCCUAGGUAAGUCAUGGCAGAGGGAUAAACUGGAGAUAUGCAGGUAAUCCAACAAAAGCGACUUGAACUAUAAACCAAGCAACACUAUGCUACGAAAAGUUAGGCAUAUGCAGUAAGGAACUCGUUGCAGAGAAUUUCUAAUAAAAACCAAUCAAGUGGCAUAGAACGACAGCUGAAUUUUACUGAGCUUGAAGCAGAAGCUUAGAAAUGUGGAAUUACCUGUUUAGCCAAACCAGUAAUCUGCUGCAAAUCACCAGCUGCACCUGUUGUCACCUCAGGUUCACCGAAGAUGAUUUCCUCUGCGGCUCUGCCACCAAGUCCACCAACAAUUCUUGCAAAGAGUUGUUGCUUGGAGAUCAAGGUAGGGUCAUCUGAA